UCUGCCACAUCCUGAACGCGUGGAUUCCUUCCCUUGUACCGGGGGGAACGUGGAGAAAAAGACCACCUGAGUCAUCGACUGUUUUAGGUGGAGAUCUCAAGAACACACACGUGGGUGGUAGAGGCAUACAAGCCAAAGCAUGGUGUUCCCAGAAGAAUGAAUAGUGAUGACUAGAAACAGUGAAUGGGUUUCUGGUUGAAAAGCCCAUCCUGCUUUUCUAUCCAACUCUUUUUUU
This is a long non-coding RNA of Oxyura jamaicensis (ruddy duck), 235 nucleotides long. RefSeq lists it as uncharacterized. NCBI's taxonomy places the organism in Eukaryota, Metazoa, Chordata, Aves, Anseriformes, Anatidae. The record is from RefSeq and is a predicted model, not a curated record. The transcript is spliced from 3 exons.